RNAcentral lists this long non-coding RNA (770 nucleotides) under Athene cunicularia (burrowing owl). RNAcentral's name for it is "lncRNA (ENSACUG00000009530.1)". The record is from RNAcentral. Lineage: Eukaryota; Metazoa; Chordata; Aves; Strigiformes; Strigidae.
GAGAAAAUAAAAAUGUUCUAGAAUUCCCAUUUUGUCGCAACUUUGCAGAUGAAGAAGGAGGAAGAGUGGCUGAGCUUCCAGUUCUCACAGCUGGCUCUCCUUUUCCAGCAGUCAAAAGUUAUGUUCUCUGUAUCACUACGGGAGCAUCACCUGGGUCAGGAACAGACGCAGAUGUGUAUGUCAUGCUCCAAGGCCUUUUGGGAGAUACUGGCAGAAGAAAGUUAAUCAGAAAAAGACAUGAUAAUUUCACUAAAGGAAAGGUGGAUGUUUUUCAAGUGGAAGCAGUAGAUGUUGGGACUCUGCAAGGGAUGGUGGUUGAAAAAGGGAAAGGCUCUGACUGGCUUCUGGAGAAGAUUAUUGUGAAAGAGUCAGCAGCUUCAGGAACAGAAACAUUGUUUAUGGCUCAAACAUGGCUAAAAGACAGACAUGAUGGAAAAAGGUUUGCCUCAGUAACGCUGAAUGCCACAGUGGUUACAUAUCAUCUAACAGUAUUUUCUAGAAAUAUUUUGAGUGAGAGAAAUUUAGUACAAAUGACUGCAUGUAUAUAUGGUACCCACGGUGACACAGGGGACAGAUCCCUUCUCUGGUCAUUGCAGAAUGUCCAGCAGGAAGAGGACAAUGAGGUACUCUGUCUUAAAGUACUUUAAAAUGUAUCCUUUAAUCCAUUCUUGUACUUCCUAUAUUUUCUUCCAAAUCUUCCUAUACACUCAAGUGAUAUAGUUUAAGACUGUAAUACUGAAUAAUUUUAUUAUAGUCAUUUCUAGUUAUCG